Molecule: ribosomal RNA, 492 nt
Filed under: uncultured bacterium
Lineage: Bacteria
Description: partial 16S ribosomal RNA
Rfam family: Bacterial small subunit ribosomal RNA
Source: RNAcentral
AUUGGACGCUGGCGGCAUGCUUUACACAUGCAAGUCGAACGGUAACAGGCCUUCGGGUGCUGACGAGUGGCGAACGGGUGAGUAAUGCAUCGGAACGUGCCCAGAGGUGGGGGAUAACGCAGCGAAAGCUGUGCUAAUACCGCAUGUGAUCUGAGGAUGAAAGCGGGGGACCAAGCAGCAAUGUUUGGCCUCGCGCCUCUGGAGCGGCCGAUGUCAGAUUAGGUAGUUGGUGGGGUAAAGGCCUACCAAGCCGACGAUCUGUAGCUGGUCUGAGAGGACGACCAGCCACACUGGGACUGAGACACGGCCCAGACUCCUACGGGAGGCAGCAGUGGGGAAUUUUGGACAAUGGGCGCAAGCCUGAUCCAGCAAUGCCGCGUGCGGGAAGAAGGCCUUCGGGUUGUAAACCGCUUUUGUACGGAACGAAAAGGCUCUGGCUAAUACCUGGGGCUGAUGACGGUACCGUAAGAAUAAGCACCGGCUAACUACGUG